GUGCAAAGGUAGCAUAAUCAUUAGGGGUUUAAUUGGAACCUGGUAUGAAGGGUUGGACAAAGGAAAAGCUGUCUUUAUAUUAUAAGUUGAAUUUUACUUUUAAGUGAAAAGGCUUAAAUAAGUCAAAGGGACGAUAAGACCCUAUAAAGCUUUAUAAAUUAUUUAAAUUUAGUUAAUUUAAAAUAUAAAAAUUAAUUUUACAUUAUUUUAUUUUAUUGGGGCGAUAUGAGUAUAAUUAUUAUUAACUGCUUAAAAAAGAAACAAGUUUAAAUGAAUAAUUGAAUUAAAUGAUCCUUUUUAAAGAUUAGAAGACUAAGUUACUUUAGGGAUAACAGCGUUAUUUCUUUUGAGAGUUCAUAUCGAAAAAGAAGAUUGCGACCUCGAUGUUGAAUUAAAAUAUCUAUAUAAUGCAGUCGUUAUAAAAGAGGGUCUGUU
Molecule: ribosomal RNA, 435 nt
Filed under: Panopeus austrobesus
Lineage: Eukaryota; Metazoa; Arthropoda; Malacostraca; Decapoda; Panopeidae
Description: partial 16S ribosomal RNA
Rfam family: Bacterial large subunit ribosomal RNA (bases 328-435)
Source: RNAcentral